This 862-nucleotide ribosomal RNA is filed under the name Yersinia sp. (in: enterobacteria). RNAcentral describes it as "bacterial SSU rRNA". It matches the Rfam family "Bacterial small subunit ribosomal RNA", at positions 24 to 876 of the family's 1533-position model. The record is from RNAcentral. Lineage: Bacteria; Pseudomonadati; Pseudomonadota; Gammaproteobacteria; Enterobacterales; Yersiniaceae.
CGCGAUUAACGCUGGCGGCAGGCCUAACACAUGCAAGUCGAGCGGCAGCGGAGAGUAGCUUGCUACUUUGCCGGCGAGCGGCGGACGGGUGAGUAAUGUCUGGGGAUCUGCCCGAUGGAGGGGGAUAACUACUGGAAACGGUAGCUAAUACCGCAUAACGUCGCAAGACCAAAGUGGGGGACCUUAGGGCCUCACACCAUCGGAUGAACCCAGAUGGGAUUAGCUAGUAGGUGGGGUAACGGCUCACCUAGGCGACGAUCCCUAGCUGGUCUGAGAGGAUGACCAGCCACACUGGAACUGAGACACGGUCCAGACUCCUACGGGAGGCAGCAGUGGGGAAUAUUGCACAAUGGGCGCAAGCCUGAUGCAGCCAUGCCGCGUGUGUGAAGAAGGCCUUCGGGUUGUAAAGCACUUUCAGCGGGGAGGAAGGAGUGAGUGUUAACAGCACUCAUUAUUGACGUUACCCGCAGAAGAAGCACCGGCUAACUCCGUGCCAGCAGCCGCGGUAAUACGGAGGGUGCGAGCGUUAAUCGGAAUUACUGGGCGUAAAGCGUACGCAGGCGGUUUGUUAAGUCAGAUGUGAAAUCCCCGAGCUUAACUCGGGAACUGCAUUUGAAACUGGCAGGCUAGAGUCUCGUAGAGGGGGGUAGAAUUCCAGGUGUAGCGGUGAAAUGCGUAGAGAUCUGGAGGAAUACCGGUGGCGAAGGCGGCCCCCUGGACGAAGACUGACGCUCAGGUACGAAAGCGUGGGGAGCAAACAGGAUUAGAUACCCUGGUAGUCCACGCUGUAAACGAUGUCGAUUUGAAGGUUGUGGCCUUGAGCCGUGGCUUUCGGAGCUAACGCGUUAAAUCGACCGCCUGG